This 612-nucleotide ribosomal RNA is filed under the name uncultured marine eukaryote. RNAcentral describes it as "SSU rRNA". It matches the Rfam family "Eukaryotic small subunit ribosomal RNA", at positions 613 to 1220 of the family's 1831-position model. The record is from RNAcentral.
UUGCAGUUAAAAAGCUCGUAGUUGGAUUUCUGGUUUGAUGCCCUGGCCCGCUGCUAUUUUGGUAGUGUGUGCCGGUUGUGCGUCUGCCAUCCUUCUAGGGAACGCUCCUUCUCUUCACUGAGCCGGGUUCGUGAUCUAGAUCGUUUACUUUGAAAAAAUUAGAGUGUUUAAAGCAGGCUUUUGCUAUGAAUACAUUAGCAUGGAAUAAUAAUCUAGGACUUCGGUCAUAUUUUGUUGGUUUCUGUAACUGAAGUAAUGAUUGAUAGGGAUAGUUGGGGGUGCUAGUAUUGAGCGGCCAGAGGUGAAAUUCUUGGAUUCGCUCAAGACUAACUUAUGCGAAAGCAUUCACCAGGGAUGUCUUCUUUAAUCAAGAACGAAAGUUGGGGGAUCGAAGACGAUCAGAUACCGUCGUAGUCUCAACCAUAAACUAUGCCAACUAGGGAUGGGUGAACGUUGCAUUCUCGACUUCAUCUGCACCUUAUGAGAAAUCAAAGUUUUUGGGUUCCGGGGGGAGUAUGGUCGCAAGGCUGAAACUUAAAGGAAUUGACGGAAGGGCACCACCAGGAGUGGAGCCUGCGGCUUAAUUUGACUCAACACGGGAAAAACUUACCA